UUUAUUGGAGAGUUUGAUCCUGGCUCAGGAUGAACGCUGGCGGCGUGCCUAAUACAUGCAAGUCGAGCGAAUGGAUUGAGAGCUUGCUCUCAAGAAGUUAGCGGCGGACGGGUGAGUAACACGUGGGUAACCUGCCCAUAAGACUGGGAUAACUCCGGGAAACCGGGGCUAAUACCGGAUAAUAUUUUGAACUGCAUGGUUCGAAAUUGAAAGGCGGCUUCGGCUGUCACUUAUGGAUGGACCCGCGUCGCAUUAGCUAGUUGGUGAGGUAACGGCUCACCAAGGCAACGAUGCGUAGCCGACCUGAGAGGGUGAUCGGCCACAC
RNAcentral lists this ribosomal RNA (325 nucleotides) under Bacillus wiedmannii. Its description in RNAcentral is "bacterial SSU rRNA". It matches the Rfam family "Bacterial small subunit ribosomal RNA", at positions 1 to 313 of the family's 1533-position model. The record is from RNAcentral. Lineage: Bacteria; Bacillati; Bacillota; Bacilli; Caryophanales; Bacillaceae.